CGAGUGACUUCUGUGUAAAGCAGCAUCUUUACCAACUGACCUGCAAUUAAGAAGUUUCAACAGAAAAGUCAGCCCGCAGUCUGCAGCCAGUGGAUGGGUGUUGAAGAUUCCGAAAUGCAGCUCAUUCAGUUAAAAAGGUCAGAAUUGUGGGCAUCAAAGUUUGGAGAUCUGCGGAGUGCACUUGAAGCUACCAAGAGAGAUCACAGGGCCUCUAUUCUGACCUGCUGGACAUCCCUGCCAGUGAAAUUUAACAGUUUGAAGAAAAUUGUGUUUGCAGUGCUUUCAGCAUUUGGAUCCACGUGCCUGUGUGAACAGGUAUUUUCACAUAUGAAAUCUGUCCCUCUCGGAGCCGGUUAACAACUGAUCACUCAGAAGCCUGUGCAGCUUAAAGUAUCCAAAUAUGUGCCAGACAUUGGAAAACUCAACAAGGAAAAGCAAGGGCAAGGAUCACACUAAACUGAUAUUAUCUGCAUUUUAAUUUAAUUUUAAAUGAAGCUUCUUAAACAUUUUAAAAACCUUAUAUAAAACUAAACUAUUGUUGUAUUUAAAGAAAAUAUUAUAGAUCUCUAGAAAGAUAUCUUCCAAAAAUGUUAAAAUGUAUUACUGGCACACGAAACCUUAAAUUAGAGUGAAUAAAUAAAGACUUAGCACACCA
Caretta caretta (loggerhead turtle) is the source of this 655-nucleotide non-coding RNA. The record is from RefSeq and is a predicted model, not a curated record. NCBI's taxonomy places the organism in Eukaryota, Metazoa, Chordata, Testudines, Cheloniidae.